GCCUACGGGGGGCAGCAGUGGGGAAUAUUGCGCAAUGGGCGAAAGCCUGACGCAGCGACGCCGCGUGAGGGAUGAAGGUCUUCUGAUCGUAGACCUCCGUCAGCAGGGAAGAACGGUCACUGUGCUAAUCAGCAGUGAAUUGACGGUACCUGCAAAGGAAGCACCGGCUAACUCCGUGCCAGCAGCCGCGGUAAUACGGAGGGUGCGAGCGUUAAUCGGAAUUACUGGGCGUAAAGCGCUCGUAGGCGGUAUGUCAAGUCAAGGGUGAACUCCCCGCGCCCAACGUGGGAACUGCCUUUGAAACU
Molecule: ribosomal RNA, 305 nt
Filed under: uncultured bacterium
Lineage: Bacteria
Description: bacterial SSU rRNA
Rfam family: Bacterial small subunit ribosomal RNA
Source: RNAcentral